Molecule: long non-coding RNA, 305 nt
Filed under: Brassica napus (rape)
Lineage: Eukaryota; Viridiplantae; Streptophyta; Magnoliopsida; Brassicales; Brassicaceae
Description: long non-coding RNA (BNAP_LNC026512)
Source: RNAcentral
UUGCCUCCUAGAAAUUCUCUUAUAUGUACUUAAAAUAAUUAUUUGAUGAGGUUAUAUGUAUGACCAAAUUCAAUGACCAGUCUUGUCAGCAUUAGCAUCAUAUAUACUAAUAUACUCAUAAGCAGGUUGUUACACAUCGUUCUCUAUGGUUCAUCUUCCUCUCACCACCAGCAUUCCGUGAAAAUCAUCUGUCUCUCUAUUACUUUUUCAGUUUAUCAACAAACACACGCAAGCUCCUCUACCUCUCCAUUGUGACCAAUAAAGCCUCUAGAUAUAUCUCGCUUAAGAACAAUUUUCGCGCCUCA